This 253-nucleotide ribosomal RNA is filed under the name uncultured bacterium. RNAcentral describes it as "partial 16S ribosomal RNA". It matches the Rfam family "Bacterial small subunit ribosomal RNA", at positions 524 to 776 of the family's 1533-position model. The record is from RNAcentral.
UACGUAGGGUGCAAGCGUUGUCCGGAAUUAUUGGGCGUAAAGGGCUCGUAGGCGGUUUGUUGCGUCGGGAGUGAAAACUUACAGCUUAACUGUGAGCGUGCUUCCGAUACGGGCAGACUUGAGGUAUUCAGGGGAGAACGGAAUUCCUGGUGCAGCGGUGAAAUGCGCAGAUAUCAGGAGGAACACCGAUGGCGAAGGCAGCCCCCUGGGCCAACACUGACGCUCAGGCACGAAAGCGUGGGGAGCAAACAGG